ACUGACAUUAGAUACCCCCGUAGUCCAGGGUGUAAACGCUGCAGACUUGGUGUUGGAAAGUCCUUUGGGGGGCAUUCGGUGCCGGAGAGAAGUUGUUAAGUCUGCUACUUGGGGAGUACGUCCGCAAGGAUGAAACUUAAAGGAAUUGGCGGGGGAGCACCGCAACGGGAGGAGCGUGCGGUUUAAUUGGAUUCAACACCGUAAACUCACCAGGGAAGACUGUUACAUGAAAGCCGAGAUGAAGACUCUGCUAGAUUUUCAG
This 262-nucleotide ribosomal RNA is filed under the name uncultured archaeon. RNAcentral's name for it is "partial 16S ribosomal RNA". It matches the Rfam family "Archaeal small subunit ribosomal RNA", at positions 722 to 982 of the family's 1478-position model. The record is from RNAcentral.